This 481-nucleotide ribosomal RNA is filed under the name uncultured bacterium. Its description in RNAcentral is "partial 16S ribosomal RNA". It matches the Rfam family "Bacterial small subunit ribosomal RNA", at positions 28 to 507 of the family's 1533-position model. The record is from RNAcentral.
GAUGAACGCUGGCGGCGUGCUUAACACAUGCCAGUCGAACGAAGCAUUUGCGACAGAUUUUUUCGGAAUGAAGUUGCUUAUGACUGAGUGGCGGACGGGUGAGUAACGCGUGGGUAACCUGCCUUGUACUGGGGGAUAGCAGCUGGAAACGGCUGGUAAUACCGCAUAAGCGCACAAUGUUGCAUGACAUGGUGUGAAAAACUCCGGUGGUAUAAGAUGGACCCGCGUCUGAUUAGCUAGUUGGUGAGAUAACAGCCCACCAAGGCGACGAUCAGUAGCCGACCUGAGAGGGUGACCGGCCACAUUGGGACUGAGACACGGCCCAGACUCCUACGGGAGGCAGCAGUGGGGAAUAUUGCACAAUGGAGGAAACUCUGAUGCAGCGACGCCGCGUGAGUGAAGAAGUAAUUCGUUAUGUAAAGCUCUAUCAGCAGGGAAGAUAGUGACGGUACCUGACGAAGAAGCUCCGGCUAAAUACGUG